UACGACUACAUAUCAGGCAUAUCAAUAAGCGGAGGAAAAGAAACUAACAAGGAUUCCCCUAGUAACGGCGAGUGAAGCGGGAAGAGCUCAAAUUUGAAAUCUUAAAGGGUUUCCCUUUACGAAUUGUAGUUUAAAGAAGUGUUUCCUGUUGGAGUUUCGGUAAAAUUUCUUUGGAAUAGGACAUCAUAGAGGGUGAGAAUCCCGUAUUUGACCGUUAUUUUCAGCUGUGUGAUACACUUUCAAAGAGUCGGAUUGUUUGGGAAUGCAGUCCAAAAUGGGUGGUAAAUUUCAUCUAAAGCUAAAUAUUGGCGAGAGACCGAUAGCGAACAAGUACCGUGAGGGAAAGAUGAAAAGAACUUUGAAAAGAGAGUUAAACAGUACGUGAAAUUGUCAAAAGGGAAGCGUUUGACACCAGUGUUGUUUAGUUGAAAAUCAAUUAAAUAGUUUUCGAUUUUAAGUAGUAUUGACCUUAUCAGCUUGCUGCUUUCUUCUCGGAAAUUAUUUAAUGCACUUUUCAGUUAACAAGUCAACAUCAAUUUCUUUUGUUGUAAAAAGGUAAGAGGAAGGUGGCUUGCGCUUCGGCUCAAGUGUUUAUAGCCUUUUACUUCUGCAAUCGGAGAGAUUGAGGUCUGCAGCGUAGAUCCUUCGGGGUUAGAUACAUUUGUGCUAAGCUAUAGCCUUGUAUAGACAACUUGUUGACUAUGCUCAGUCAUGUAGCUUACUCGCUUAUGCUAUUUUACCUACGCUUAGGAUGUUGACGCGCGUGUGUGCGUG
This 774-nucleotide ribosomal RNA is filed under the name uncultured Neocallimastigales. RNAcentral's name for it is "partial large subunit ribosomal RNA". It matches the Rfam family "Eukaryotic large subunit ribosomal RNA", at positions 24 to 639 of the family's 3401-position model. The record is from RNAcentral. Lineage: Eukaryota; Fungi; Neocallimastigomycota; Neocallimastigomycetes; Neocallimastigales.